GACGAACGCUGGCGGCGUGCUUAACACAUGCGAGUCGAACGGAAAGGCCCUGCUUUUGUGGGGUGCUCGAGUGGCGAACGGGUGAGUAACACGUGAGUAACCUGCCCUUGACUUUGGGAUAACUUCAGGAAACUGGGGCUAAUACCGGAUAGGAGCUCCUGCUGCAUGUUGGGGGUUGGAAAGUUUCGGCGGUUGGGGCUGGACUCGCAGCUUAUCAGCUUGUUUGUGUGGUAGUGGCUUACCAAGGCUUUGACGGGUAGCCGGCCUGGGAGGGUGACCGGCCACCUUGGGACUGAGAUACGGCCCAGAAUCCUACGGGAGGCAGCAGUGGGGAAUAUUGCACAAUGGGCGGAAGCCUGAUGCAGCAACGCCGCGUGCGGGAUGACGGCCUUCGGGUUGUAAACCGCUUUCGCCUGUGACGAAGCGUGAGUGACGGUAAUGGGUAAAGAAGCACCGGCUAACUACGUG
This 468-nucleotide ribosomal RNA is filed under the name uncultured bacterium. RNAcentral's name for it is "partial 16S ribosomal RNA". It matches the Rfam family "Bacterial small subunit ribosomal RNA", at positions 28 to 507 of the family's 1533-position model. The record is from RNAcentral.